AAUAUUGGACAAUGUGGGCAACCCUGAUCCAGCCAUGCCUCGUUUGUGAAUAAUGUCUUCUGAUUGUAAAUCACUUUAAGUUGGGAGGAAGGUCUUUAGGUUAAUACCCUGAAGUUUUGACGUUACCAACAGUAUAAGCACCGGCUAACAUUGAGCCAGCAGCCGCGGUAAUAGAGAGGGUGCAAGCUUUAACCGAAAUUACUGGGCGUAAAGCGCGCGUAGGUGGUUCAAUAAGAUAGGUAUGAAAUCCCCGGGCGUAACCUGAGAACUGCUUUCAUAACUGCUGAGCUAGAGUACGGUAGAAGGUAGUGGAAUUUCAUGUGUAGCGGUGAAAUGCGUAGAUAUAGGAAGGAACACCAGUGGCGAAGGCGACUACCUGGACUGAUACUGACACUGAGGUGCGAAAGCGUGGGGAGCAAA
RNAcentral lists this ribosomal RNA (420 nucleotides) under uncultured bacterium. RNAcentral describes it as "partial 16S ribosomal RNA". It matches the Rfam family "Bacterial small subunit ribosomal RNA", at positions 360 to 772 of the family's 1533-position model. The record is from RNAcentral.